GAGGCCUCUAAAUUGUGCAUUUUGGCGGGAAAAUGGACGGAUCUUGGAAAAAGCUCGCGGAUCCUUUUUGUUCAUGAAUCCGACCCAAUGGAUAUCCAUUCACCCGAUUAACAAAUGAGUACACCAUACGUUUCAAACAUUCAGAAACCCUAAUCUUCCAGCCUCAAUCGCCGUUCUUCCAUCAGUCAAGCAAAUCAGAUGGUGAUCCAUCUUCGUUUCAUCCUUAGGGUUACAGUUCCUCCUCUGCAAGGGAUUCUCUUAUAGUCUUCCAUCGUCUUCAUACAUAAGAAAUCGUCACUUCUAAUGUCUUUCUCACCAGGGUUAUGGAAUUGGGAUUAUUCAUACAAUAAUAAGCUAGCUCAUAUUCAUAAGCUUAAGAAGACAGAAGACAUGAUCUUAAUGGUUCUUCAGAUAUUCACUGCUGGGCGCUACUGAAGAAUUUGAUCAAAUUUAUGAACCACUUGCUCUACAUCCUAUAAAUGAUCAGCAAAGAUAAAGGAGCAACAUGGAUACCGCCAAUCUCACAUUACAGUGCGGGGUUUGCCAGAUUGGUGUAAUUGGUCGAAAGGUCUUCUCGCCCAUUUGAAGUGGUUUUGUAGGGAAAAAGUAAUUUGCCUAUUAAAGUUGUUACAACAAGGUGUGAUUUUUGUUAUUAUAAAAUGUUACUUUACAUGUAUUAAGCUGUGAGAAUGGGUAUUAAAAACAAAAUGACACUUUUAAAGGCAAAUUAACUAUUCAGAUACAAAUUUUAUUUGUCUCUCUCUUGAUGGAUUCUAAGAAAGUUGCCUUUAGUUUAACAUCGUAACAAAAGCCACAAACUCAUUUUAAUUGAAAUAUGUGCCAGUUUAGUUUAAUAUGUAUAUGCAUAUACAUAUAUGUGCCAUUGAUUUUGAUAAUUUGUCUAUAUUUUAAUCCAUUUUGUUAUUAGAAUUAGUUGGUUACGCGCAACAAGUUGGUUCUGCAUUCGCAAAAGGUAUGUUUUUUCAUCAUGUUAUCUGUGGUGACUUAUGUUAAUUUUAUUAAAAGGUAUGUUUUUACAACAAAAACUACAUGAGUCUAAAACUGAAGUGGUGAUGCUCGAAUCUUGUGCUCUUAAUUUUGCUUCAUUUGACAUUUUUUUUCUACUAUUCUAAUUUUAACAUGUUGCUGAUGUUCUUUGAAUAUGUAUAUAAGUUCUUUGGGUGUUAUGUGUUUGGCAGUAUUGUUAGAUUAGACAUGUAUUUUAUUAAUUUUUAAUAUUAGCAUGUCUAUCUUGGGAAACAAGAAAAAAAACUUGCAUGUCUUCUGGGAUGCUUGCUUAAUAAUGGUUUUUACCCAUUGACUUGUGAAAAUUGAUAGUUUUUAUCGUUUUGUGUGUUCUAAUAGUCCAUUACUUACAUAAUUUUAGUCGUUUUGGUUGUCACUGUUGUUUGUGAAGUCGUUGAUUAGGUUUCACAUUACUGUGACUAAUAUUAUAAUUAUUAAAGCAUGUUGUACAACUUAUUCUUGCAUUCAUUUUCGGGCUUUUAGUGGACAUGUAAUUUAAUCACGAUGGGAUUGACAUUCCUUUAGGGGACUAUGAUGAUCAAAUGUUUUUUUGUAUAUUGUUGAGUAUUAGCAUGUUAUUUGACUUUCCAUUUACAUCUGAGUCGUUAAGUAUGCAGCCAUGGCGGAUUUGUGCUCUUUGUUUGAAGAUGAGGUAUUAUGUGUGUUGAUAGGGUAGUCGAUAUGGUGACGCUUUUUAGUGCUAUGCGUGUCAACCAAUGAAUUCAUGAACUGGUUGCAUUCUUGGACUUAACAACAUCUGUGUACAUGCCAAUUGGUUUCUCUAUGCAUUACUUUCAUAAUGGAACUAAUAAGUGAUCAUCACAUUUUAAACUCAUUGAGGUUUUCUAAUUAGAUGAUGAAUUCUUGAUUAUUGUUAUUAAUAUAUGAAUUGGCUUAUGGAUGUACAGGAUGAUAGGAAAAUUGUUGUGAAGAAGCUUUCAGAGACAUCAAAAUAGGGGAAUAGAGAAUUUACAAACUGCAGGCAGACUGAGGCGGCGUCUUCGUCUUCCACCGAAAUGGCGGUGGUGAAGGAAUCUGGUGGAUGUGAGUCGUAAGAACAAAGAACAGGAGGUUUGAUGAGGAGGUUCGAUCAUCUGAUCCAUAGUUCCCAUAGUCUUGGUACUAAGAAGAAUAUAGAAUGGCAAGAGAAGCUGGCUGUUGUAUAUUGAAGUUGCGACAAAGCUGCUCGAGGACAAUGUUGGGGCGCAAGUAAUGAAGUUGGCUGUUGUAUAUUGAGGUUGCGACAAAGCUGCUCGAGGACAAUGUUGCAGCGCCGGAAGACCCAUUGUUUUCAUGUUAAGAAAGACUUUCUUGUGAAUUGACACAUGUAGAGGUUGAUUCUAAAGAGUAUUAAAUGUUGCGUUCUAUGCUACGGAAGUAUAUCAAUUUGGUCAUAACUUGCAAAUCUAUAGGAACGAGAAGCUCACCUGAAAGCUCGCCGAAACUAAGGGACAUGCCUAAUGAGUCACUGGAAGAGGAGGUCCGGGCGUAAUGUCCGACAAAUCUGAAGAAACUGAGUACCAAGAAUCUAUGCAAAGCCAAAUUAACAUUAUUAAGGGGAUAAAGAGAUCAAAGUUUGAAGGAAUCAAGUAGAAUCUUGGACAAACAAAAAUUGGCAGACCAACUCUUUAUGGGUUGGCCGCAAAGGGAGCGUAUGGAGUUAGAAGAAAUGUUGAAGGAUGAACUUGAGCUCAUAAUGGCUUUUUCAUGUUGCCCCACCCUCAAUGAUAUAUGGAUGUCACUUUGUUUAUGAUUUACGAAGUGAAGGAUAUCAAAUUUUAGGUGUUUGCUAAAUUAAAGAGGACUUGCAUCUAUAACAUUGGAUGUGGCAAGGCGUGCUACACCAGUCAGACUGAGCUCAUGUUAAUUAUAGUAAAUUAUAAAUGUAACAUUAUUUGUCUUUUUCUUGAUAUUUUGUACACGGUUUAUAAAGAAAACUUCAUACCUAAUACCUAAUGAUGCAAUCCACUUUGUUA
Helianthus annuus (common sunflower) is the source of this 3002-nucleotide long non-coding RNA. RefSeq lists it as uncharacterized. The transcript is spliced from 15 exons. The record is from RefSeq and is a predicted model, not a curated record. Lineage: Eukaryota; Viridiplantae; Streptophyta; Magnoliopsida; Asterales; Asteraceae.